ACAGCCUCAGUGCAUGGCGGUGGGCGCUUCCAGUAACUCAGGGGGACAGAGUCCUGAGCAAGGAAACCUAGAAGGGAGAGAGGAAUACCAUGGAAUUGAGUCCUGUCUGGUAGCACUGACAGACACAGUGGCCAGCCACCCUCAUGCCACCCUGUCCUGCCAUGGGAAGGAACAGCAGCUCUAGAGUUCCUAUGGGAACUCUCUUUCCUUCUCACUGAACUCUAGCUUCAUCAAUAACUCAGUGCCUCUGGCCAAGUUUUUAGCCUCUGGGACAACAUCCACUAUAUCCAUAUGAGGCACUCAUGUAACACGGUGAUUAAGAGUACAGAUGCUGAAGCCAGCAGCCUAAGUCUGAAUCCUGACUGCCAAUUAUUAAUAUAAGUUGUGGAACCAUGGUCAAGUUACUCAACCUCUUUAUGCCUCUGUCUCCUGGUCUACGAAAUGAAGCUUUGAAUCUGCUGUUAUUAAGUUGCUGGUGCUGAAAUAACACUUAUUAUUUAUGAUCUAACUGAAAUGGGAACACUGGAAACUUCUUUGAAACUGAAGAAAAAAAUGAAAAAGAAGUUUUUACAAUCAAAACUGCCAUGAAGACUGCUUUACCCAAAAUUUUGGUCCACAGCUUUCAUUGAAUUACUUAUCAGGGCAAACAAAGUUUAGCCAUGUGAACACGUUCCAAUUUUGUUGGAAAUAAUUUGGAUCCAGCUAUCUUUAUACAAUGGUGAGUUCGUAUUGCAUCUCAUGGCUAAAAUACUGAGGUAAAGGCUUUUGGAUCUUUGUGUGUGUGUGUGUGCAUGUGACAAAAACAAGCAAUGGGGAAAGGAGUCCCUAUUUAAUAAAUGGUGUUGGGAGAACUGGCUAGCCAUAUGCAGAAAGUUGAAACUGGAGCCCCUCCUUAUACCAUAUACAAAAAUCAACUCAAGAUGAAUUAAAGACUUAAAUGUAAAAACCCAAACUAUAAAAACCCUAGAAGAAAAUCUAGGCAAUACCAUUCAGGACAUGGGCACAGGCAAAUAUUUCAUGACAAAGAUGCCAAAAGCAGUAGCAACAAAAGCAAAAAUUGACAAAUGGAAUCUAAUUAAACUAAAGAGCUUCUGUACAGCAAAGAAAUUAUCAUCAGAGUGAACAGACAGCUUACAGCAUGGGAGAAAAUUUUUGCAGUAUAUCCAUCUGACAAAGGUCUAAUAUUCAGCAUCUACAAGGAACUUAAACAAAUUUACAAGAAAAAAAAACAACGCCAUUAAAAAAUGGGCAAAGGACGUGGACAGACACUUCUCAAAAGAAGAAAUUUAUGUGGGCAAUGAACAUUUUUUUUAAAAAAGCUCAACACCACUGAUCAUUAGAGAAAUGCACAUGAAAACCACAAUGAGAUACCAUCUCACACCAGUCAGAAUGGCUAUUACUUAAAGGUCAAAAAACAACAGAUGAUAGCAAGGUUGUGAAGAAAAAUGAACACUUUUAUACGUUGGUUGGAGUAUAAAUUAGUUCUACCCUUGUCGAAGACAGUGUGGUGAUUCCUCAAAGACCUAGGGGAAGAAAUAUCAUUUGACCCAGCAAUCUCAUUACUGGGUAUAUACCCAGAGGAAUAUAAAUCAUUCUAUUAUAAAGAUACAUGUGCAUGUUCAUUGCAAAAUAGCAAAAACAUGGAAUCAACCUAAAUGCUCAUCAAUGACAGACUUGAUAAAGGAAAUAUGGUACGUAUACACCAAGGAAUACCAUGCAGCCAUAAAAAGGAACAAGAUAAUGUCUUUUGCAGGGACCUGGAUGGAACCAGAAGCCAUUAUCCUCAGCAAAUUAAUGCAGGAACAGAAAAGCAAAUACCACAUGUUCUCACUUGUAAGUGGUAGCUGAAUGAUGAGAACACAUGGACACAUGGUGGGGAACAAUACACACUGGGGCCUGUUGCAGGGUGCGGAGUGGGAGGGAGAGCAUCGGGAAGAAUAGCUAAUGCAUGCUGGGCUUAAUACCUAGGGGAUGGAAUGAUCUGUGCUGCAAACCACUAUGGCACACAUUUACCUAUGUAACAAACCUACACAUCCUGCACAUGUACCCCUGACCUUAAAAUAAAAGUUGGAAAUAAAAAAAACCCU
Homo sapiens (human) is the source of this 2087-nucleotide long non-coding RNA. The record is from Ensembl. Lineage: Eukaryota; Metazoa; Chordata; Mammalia; Primates; Hominidae.